RNAcentral lists this ribosomal RNA (253 nucleotides) under uncultured bacterium. Its description in RNAcentral is "partial 16S ribosomal RNA". It matches the Rfam family "Bacterial small subunit ribosomal RNA", at positions 524 to 776 of the family's 1533-position model. The record is from RNAcentral.
UACGUAGGGUGCAAGCGUUAUCCGGAAUUAUUGGGCGUAAAGAGCUCGUAGGCGGUUUGUCGCGUCUGCUGUGAAAACUGGAGGCUCAACCUCCAGCCUGCAGUGGGUACGGGCAGACUAGAGUGCGGUAGGGGAGAUUGGAAUUCCUGGUGUAGCGGUGGAAUGCGCAGAUAUCAGGAGGAACACCGAUGGCGAAGGCAGCUCUCUGGGCCGUAACUGACGCUGAGGAGCGAAAGCAUGGGGAGCGAACAGG